RNAcentral lists this ribosomal RNA (402 nucleotides) under bacterium. RNAcentral's name for it is "partial 16S ribosomal RNA". It matches the Rfam family "Bacterial small subunit ribosomal RNA", at positions 355 to 776 of the family's 1533-position model. The record is from RNAcentral.
UGGGGAAUUUUGCACAAUGGGGGAAACCCUGAUGCAACGACGCCGCGUGAUUUAGAAGGCCUUCGGGUUGUAAAAAUCUUUUCUAUGGGAAGAAAAUGACAGUACCAUAGGAAUAAGGACCGGCUAAUUACGUGCCAGCAGCCGCGGUAAUACGUAAGGUCCGAGCGUUGUCCGGAAUCAUUGGGCGUAAAGGGUACGUAGGCGGGUAAGCAAGUUAGAAGUGAAAUCCUAUAGCUCAACUAUAGUAAGCUUUUAAAACUGCUCAUCUUGAGGUAUGGAAGGGAAAGUGGAAUUCCUAGUGUAGCGGUGAAAUGCGCAGAUAUUAGGAGGAAUACCGGUGGCGAAGGCGACUUUCUGGCCAUAACCUGACGCUGAGGUACGAAAGCGUGGGUAGCAAACAGG